Molecule: ribosomal RNA, 501 nt
Filed under: uncultured soil bacterium
Lineage: Bacteria
Description: bacterial SSU rRNA
Rfam family: Bacterial small subunit ribosomal RNA
Source: RNAcentral
AGAUUGAACGCUGGCGGCAGGCCUAACACAUGCAAGUCGAGCGGUAGAGAGGUGCUUGCAUCUCUUGGGAGCGGCGGACGGGUGAGUAAUGCCUAGGAAUCUGCCUAGUGGUGGGGGAUAACGUUCGGAAACGGACGCUAAUACCGCAUACGUCCUACGGGAGAAAGCGGGGGACCUUCGGGCCUCGCGCCAUUAGAUGAGCCUAGGUCGGAUUAGCUAGUUGGUGAGGUAAUGGCUCACCAAGGCGACGAUCCGUAACUGGUCUGAGAGGAUGAUCAGUCACACUGGAACUGAGACACGGUCCAGACUCCUACGGGAGGCAGCAGUGGGAAUAUUGGACAAUGGGCGAAAGCCUGAUCCAGCCAUGCCGCGUGUGUGAAGAAGGUCUUCGGAUUGUAAAGCACGUUUAAGUUGGGAAGAAGGUUGUAAACCUAAUACGUUGACAACUUUGACGUUACCGACUAGAAUAAGCACCGGCUAACUUCGUGCCAGCAGCCGACG